UUAAUUAAAGCCAAAAAGAGGCAUAUCACUGUUAAUGAUAAAAUUGGACUAUGUUAUCCUAAUUAAA
This 67-nucleotide transfer RNA is filed under the name Coleoptera sp. 24 KM-2017. RNAcentral describes it as "tRNA-Asn". The record is from RNAcentral. Lineage: Eukaryota; Metazoa; Arthropoda; Insecta; Coleoptera.